GCCCGGGUGGCGAAAUUGGUAGACGCAAGGGACUUAAAAUCCCUCGGUUUCACGACCGUGCCGGUUCGAGUCCGGCCCUGGGCA
RNAcentral lists this transfer RNA (84 nucleotides) under bacterium. Its description in RNAcentral is "tRNA-Leu". It matches the Rfam family "tRNA". From Rfam's summary of the family: Transfer RNA (tRNA) molecules are approximately 80 nucleotides in length. RNAcentral also lists the same sequence under 1 other name. The record is from RNAcentral.